This 468-nucleotide ribosomal RNA is filed under the name uncultured bacterium. RNAcentral's name for it is "partial 16S ribosomal RNA". It matches the Rfam family "Bacterial small subunit ribosomal RNA", at positions 28 to 507 of the family's 1533-position model. The record is from RNAcentral.
GACGAACGCUGGCGGCGUGCUUAACACAUGCAAGUCGAACGGAAAGGCCCUGCUUUGGUGGGGUGCUCGAGUUGCGAACGGGUGAGUAACACGUGAGUAACCUGCCCUUGACUUUGGGAUAACUUCAGGAAACUUGGGCUAAUACCGGAUAGGAUCUCCUGCUGCAUGGUGGGGGUUGGUAAGUUUCGGCGGUUGGGGAUGGACUCGCGGCUUAUCAGCUUGUUGGUGUGGUGGUGGCUGACCAAGGCGUUGACGGGUAGCCGGCCUGAGAGGGUGACCGGCCACAUUAGGCCUGAGCUACGGCCCAGACUCCUACGGUAGGCAGCAGUGGGGAAUAUUGCAUAAUGGGCGGAAGCCUGAUGCAGCAACGCCGCGUGCGGGAUGACGGCCUUCGGGUUGUAAACCGCUUUCGCCUGUGACGAAGCGUGAGUGACGGUAAUGGGUAAAGAAGCACCGGCUAACUACGUG